GGCGAGUUGCCGGAGUGGUCUAACGGCGCCGUUUUGAAAACGGAUGGUCGCAGAGAUGCGACACGAGGGUUCGAAUCCUCUCACUCGCCGCCA
Molecule: transfer RNA, 93 nt
Filed under: Chloroflexota bacterium
Lineage: Bacteria; Bacillati; Chloroflexota
Description: tRNA-Ser
Rfam family: tRNA
About the family: Transfer RNA (tRNA) molecules are approximately 80 nucleotides in length.
Source: RNAcentral